Molecule: ribosomal RNA, 440 nt
Filed under: uncultured bacterium
Lineage: Bacteria
Description: partial 16S ribosomal RNA
Rfam family: Bacterial small subunit ribosomal RNA
Source: RNAcentral
CCUACGGGGGGCUGCAGUGGGGGAUAUUGCACAAUGGGGGCAACCCUGAUGCAGCGACGCCGCGUGAGCGAUGGAGUACUUCGGUAUGUAAAGCUCUGUCAGCAGGGAAGAGAAUGACGGUACCUGACCAAGAAGCCCCGGCUAAAUACGUGCCAGCAGCCGCGGUAAUACGUAGGGGGCGAGCGUUGUCCGGAAUGACUGGGCGUAAAGGGAGUGUAGGCGGCAUAUUAAGUUAUGUGUGAAAGCCCGCGGCUCAACCGCGGAAUUGCACAUAAAACUGGUAAGCUGGAGUGCAGGAGAGGUAAGUGGAAGUCCCGGUGUAGCGGUGGAAUGCGUAGAUAUCGGGAGGAACACCAGAGGCGAAGGCGACUUACUGGACUGUAACUGACGCUGAGGCUCGAAAGCGUGGGGAGCAAACAGGAUUAGAUACCCUUGUAGUC